This 446-nucleotide ribosomal RNA is filed under the name uncultured bacterium. RNAcentral describes it as "SSU rRNA". It matches the Rfam family "Bacterial small subunit ribosomal RNA", at positions 26 to 518 of the family's 1533-position model. The record is from RNAcentral.
AGAACGAACGCUGGCGGCAUGCCUAACACAUGCAAGUCGAACGAGACCUUCGGGUCUAGUGGCGCACGGGUGCGUAACGCGUGGGAAUCUGCCCUUGGGUACGGAAUAACAGUGAGAAAUUACUGCUAAUACCGUAUGAUGUCUUCGGACCAAAGAUUUAUCGCCCAGGGAUGAGCCCGCGUUGGAUUAGCUAGUUGGUGGGGUAAAGGCCUACCAAGGCGACGAUCCAUAGCUGGUCUGAGAGGAUGAUCAGCCACACUGGGACUGAGACACGGCCCAGACUCCUACGGGAGGCAGCAGUGGGGAAUAUUGGACAAUGGGCGAAAGCCUGAUCCAGCAAUGCCGCGUGAGUGAAGAAGGCCUUAGGGUUGUAAAGCUCUUUUACCCGGGAAGAUAAUGACUGUACCGGGAGAAUAAGCCCCGGCUAACUCCGUGCCAGCAGCCGC